RNAcentral lists this unclassified non-coding RNA (752 nucleotides) under Zea mays. RNAcentral's name for it is "misc RNA Zm00001eb374250". Lineage: Eukaryota; Viridiplantae; Streptophyta; Magnoliopsida; Poales; Poaceae. The record is from RNAcentral.
AUUCUUUUGUAUAUGGGUGAUAUACAAAGAAGACAUUAAUAUGAAGACAUGUGAGACGGUUAACUUUGAAAUAAGUGGAGAUGUGCAUCUUGGUUCAGUUAGUCUUUCAUAUGGCUGUAGCACAAUUGAUUUCACAAACUUUGCAACACAAGGUAUUGCAGAUAUACCAAUCACAAUUUUUCACCCAUCAUUUUAUAAUAAAGAUUUGUUGUCUUUGUCUAGAGGUUGGCUCUUUACUUAUGCUAAAUGCAUUUGUAGCCAUGAAAAUCAGUUUACCACUGUUGGUUUGGCAGUUCCUAAUAACAAAACUUCACCGACCAAUAAUUUUAUCGAACGAGAAAGGCAAAGGCAUAGAGAAAGACGUGCAAAAAUGUCAGUAGACCAAAGGAACAAGUUGAAUAAGAAGCGUCGUGAGGCGCGACAACAAAACAAGGGACAACAUAUGAUGUCCACUGUGUAAGGAGGUGAUGAAACACGUCAAAUUUAAAUUAAUGUUUCUGUGCAUAAACCUACACUUAGAAAGUAAUGUGAUCAUUGUUUUUUAGAUGGAGACGAAAAAGUAAAUGUGAAUAAGAUGAUGAUAGAGAUUGGUUGCAUUGGAAUGAGACAUUCAAGGCAGACGAUGUUUUCACAACGAGAGACCUUCUGACACCAGGUACAUGACUGUUCACUCAACUAAAUUUGCAAAACAGCUGAUUUCAGGCGGUUUAACGUAUACAUGCCCUAUUCCAGGCGUUGUGCUUGAAACUGUU